GGUCCCUUCGCUCAGUUGGUCAGAGCAGCGGACUCAUAAUCCGUGGGUCACAGGUUCAAGCCCUGUAGGGACCA
Molecule: transfer RNA, 74 nt
Filed under: Bacteroidales bacterium
Lineage: Bacteria; Pseudomonadati; Bacteroidota; Bacteroidia; Bacteroidales
Description: tRNA-Ile
Rfam family: tRNA
About the family: Transfer RNA (tRNA) molecules are approximately 80 nucleotides in length. Their secondary structure includes four short double-helical elements and three loops (D, anti-codon, and T loops).
Source: RNAcentral